UUAAAGAUGAAGCUGACAGUUACAAAUAUUUACUAGCAAAAAAAGCCAUGGAAUAAUGCAAAUCCAUCAGUUAAUUUAAUUAGCUCUUUCUAAUUCAUUAAGCAAACUUAAUUUGUUUAAUAUAGUAACCACAUGGAACAAGUCCCCAGUCGCGAAAAAAGAAAAGAAAAAAGAGGGCAUAGUUUCCUAAUUAAACUAUUUUCCUAUUUGCCUGCAGUAUUUUCCUUAUCAAACAUUUUAUUUUU
This 245-nucleotide long non-coding RNA is filed under the name Gossypium barbadense (sea-island cotton). RNAcentral describes it as "long non-coding RNA (GBAR_LNC021975)". Lineage: Eukaryota; Viridiplantae; Streptophyta; Magnoliopsida; Malvales; Malvaceae. The record is from RNAcentral.